GAUGUACGCUAGCGGCAGGCUUAAUACAUGCAAGUCGUGGGGCAGCAUGAGUGUAGCAAUACAUUUGAUGGCGACCGGCAAACGGGUGCGGAACACGUACACAACCUUCCUAUAAGUGGGGAAUAGCCCAGAGAAAUUUGGAUUAAUACACCGUAACGUAAUGAUGUGGCAUCACAUUAUUAUUAUAGCUUCGGCGCUUAUUGAUGGGUGUGCGGCUGAUUAGAUAGUUGGCGGGGUAACGGCCCACCAAGUCUACGAUCAGUAGCUGAUGUGAGAGCAUGAUCAGCCACACGGGCACUGAGACACGGGCCCGACUCCUACGGGAGGCAGCAGUAAGGAAUAUUGGUCAAUGGACGCAAGUCUGAACCAGCCAUGCCGCGUGAAGGAUUAAGGUCCUCUGGAUUGUAAACUUCUUUUAUCUGGGACGAAAAAAGGCGAUUCUUCGUCACUUGACGGUACCAGAUGAAUAAGCACCGGCUAACUCCGUGCCAGCCGCCGCGGUAA
This 504-nucleotide ribosomal RNA is filed under the name uncultured bacterium. Its description in RNAcentral is "partial 16S ribosomal RNA". It matches the Rfam family "Bacterial small subunit ribosomal RNA", at positions 28 to 523 of the family's 1533-position model. The record is from RNAcentral.